RNAcentral lists this long non-coding RNA (1428 nucleotides) under Bemisia tabaci. RNAcentral describes it as "lncRNA ENSSSA1NGG007129". Lineage: Eukaryota; Metazoa; Arthropoda; Insecta; Hemiptera; Aleyrodidae. The record is from RNAcentral.
GCCGAUACUCUGGCGAAAGAAGCUGCUUCAUCUGCUGGCCCUUUCCUCCCCUGACUGUCACAGCCGAGGACCUCAACAAGCACAUCAAAAGAGAAAUCUACACAAAUUGGCAACAAGAGUGGACAGUGUAUUGCCAAUAUAAAAAUCCCCCAAUGUCCAUAUUCCCUCAAUUUUCUGAUCUACCACGAGCAGAUCAAGUAAAAUUAACCAGGCUGUGCAUUGGGCACACGUCUUUCUCCCACCAAUAUAUAAUCAAGAAAGUCCAACCCCAACCUGCAUAUCUUGUAAUGUCCCUCUUUCAGUUAAACAUGUUUUAAUAACUUGCCCUUCAUAUCACCAAUUAAGAUCCAAAAUUUUCCCUCCACUUUCUGAUCUCCAUACCAUCCUUUCAAAGUAUUUUCGUAAAAUCCCCCUAUUUUUCAAACAAAUUAAUCUCCAAAUUUAAUGUAUUCAUUCCUUGUCCUAACUUUUCAUUUUGCACUACCUUUUGUGACCCCUACUUUUCAAAUUUUUAAAUUCUGUACUAUAUUUUGAUCUCUCCUCUAAGGUGUUAAUGGCUCUAUUGUUAAAAGCACCAAUAAACGUAUAUACCAACCAACCAUACAUACAUAGAGUGAGAGAUCGAGAUCGGUCCGACCGCACGCGCGCGAUUGUGCUCCGGCGAAUUUUCGAUUUUUCGAGUCGAUCUGGCGCGAAAGUUUGAAUGAAACUUAUAUCGGUUUGUGCAGUUUUUCGUGCCCUUUCCAAAGGGUCCUUUUGAAUCCUUGUAUGACCUCGUACUGGACCUUUAUCCCCUUUUGUUUUUUGCGAAAUUGUCAUUGCUUUCCUUAAAAAUAAUUUCUAUGUGAUCACAAAACUAUAAUCGCGAGUGAAAUUGUGCUGUGUUUCCAUGGAUACCGUCGCGGCGGAAAAAUCAUAGGCUACGCUUCCAGUCUUGUUUACUCUCCUCUCCCACCUCUUCACGAUGAAGCGAGGCAGGAAACAAAAACGCUCAUCGAAAAUGGACGGCUCUUCAGACGAAUCAUCCUCUUCAAAAAUUAGCAAACAGCUGACUCCCUCCUCUCAAUCACUCCCCACUGAUCCUCAUCCUACGGCCGCCUCCAUGAUGCCCCAGGAUGACAUCACCCAAUCCAUCGCCCAGCCUAUUACUCCUACUAUGCAGUCCGUGGUUACUGAUAAGACCAUGCCCCCCUCUCCUGCCGCUCCGUCUACUUCCUACUCUACUGCGUGUAAGAGCGCACAGAACUCAAUGACAACGAUUACAGGUUGUCCCUGCGUCAAAUAUUCUGUAUGCCUCCAAAAUUUCUAAUAAUCGAAUAUGCAUCUAUUUAUCAUCUGAAAAGUUAGUUGAUAAUGCUUGCAAUUCAAAAUUUAUCAACACUACUGUCGGCCCCCUUCCCAUCAGGCGACUCAUUAAUCCUGCUUUCC